RNAcentral lists this non-coding RNA (52 nucleotides) under unclassified sequences. RNAcentral's name for it is "Xanthine-I sequence". It matches the Rfam family "Xanthine riboswitch aptamer (NMT1 RNA)". Rfam says of the family: Later it was reported as a ncRNA that recognised Xanthine. The record is from Rfam by way of RNAcentral.
CUUUCGAGUAGAAGCGGUCAGUGCCGAAAUGGGAUGGGGCAUUGCUCAGGCA